RNAcentral lists this ribosomal RNA (253 nucleotides) under uncultured bacterium. RNAcentral's name for it is "partial 16S ribosomal RNA". It matches the Rfam family "Bacterial small subunit ribosomal RNA", at positions 524 to 776 of the family's 1533-position model. The record is from RNAcentral.
UACAGAGGUCUCAAGCGUUGUUCGGAUUCAUUGGGCGUAAAGGGUGCGUAGGUGGCGCGCUAAGUCGGGUGUGAAAUUUCGGAGCUUAACUCCGAAACUGCAUUCGAUACUGGCGUGCUUGAGGACUGGAGAGGAGACUGGAAUUUACGGUGUAGCAGUGAAAUGCGUAGAGAUCGUAAGGAAGACCAGUGGCGAAGGCGGGUCUCUGGACAGUUCCUGACACUGAGGCACGAAGGCCAGGGGAGCAAACGGG